Molecule: transfer RNA, 71 nt
Filed under: Loxodonta africana (African savanna elephant)
Lineage: Eukaryota; Metazoa; Chordata; Mammalia; Proboscidea; Elephantidae
Rfam family: tRNA
About the family: Transfer RNA (tRNA) molecules are approximately 80 nucleotides in length. Their secondary structure includes four short double-helical elements and three loops (D, anti-codon, and T loops). Further hydrogen bonds mediate the characteristic L-shaped molecular structure. tRNAs have two regions of fundamental functional importance: the anti-codon, which is responsible for specific mRNA codon recognition, and the 3' end, to which the tRNAs corresponding amino acid is attached (by aminoacyl-tRNA synthetases). tRNAs cope with the degeneracy of the genetic code in two manners: having more than one tRNA (with a specific anti-codon) for a particular amino acid; and 'wobble' base-pairing, i.e. permitting non-standard base-pairing at the 3rd anti-codon position.
Source: Rfam by way of RNAcentral
GCAGUGGUGGUUCAGUGGUAGACUAGUUGCCUUCCAUGCAGGAGAUCUGGGUGCAAUUCCUGGCUAGUGCA